RNAcentral lists this ribosomal RNA (497 nucleotides) under uncultured bacterium. RNAcentral's name for it is "partial 16S ribosomal RNA". It matches the Rfam family "Bacterial small subunit ribosomal RNA", at positions 28 to 507 of the family's 1533-position model. The record is from RNAcentral.
GACGAACGCUGGCAGCGUGCCUAAUACAUGCAAGUUGAGCGAUGAAAAUUGGUGCUUGCACCAAUUCGAAGAGCAGCGAACGGGUGAGUAACGCGUGGGGAAUCUGCCUUUGAGCGGGGGACAACAUUUGGAAACGAAUGCUAAUACCGCAUAACAACUUUAAACAUAAGUUUUAAGUUUGAAAGAUGCAAUUGCAUCACUCAAAGAUGAUCCCGCGUUGUAUUAGCUAGUUGGUGAGGUAAAGGCUCACCAAGGCGAUGAUACAUAGCCGACCUGAGAGGGUGAUCGGCCACAUUGGGACUGAGACACGGCCCAAACUCCUACGGGAGGCAGCAGUAGGGAAUCUUCGGCAAUGGACGAAAGUCUGACCGAGCAACGCCGCGUGAGUGAAGAAGGUUUUCGGAUCGUAAAACUCUGUUGGUAGAGAAGAACGUUGGUGAGAGUGGAAAGCUCAUCAAGUGACGGUAACUACCCAGAAAGGGACGGCUAACUACGUG